Hordeum vulgare subsp. vulgare (domesticated barley) is the source of this 238-nucleotide long non-coding RNA. RefSeq lists it as uncharacterized. The transcript is spliced from 3 exons. The record is from RefSeq and is a predicted model, not a curated record. NCBI's taxonomy places the organism in Eukaryota, Viridiplantae, Streptophyta, Magnoliopsida, Poales, Poaceae.
GUUUUUUUGCCUCUAGUGAAGGACAUCAGAAACCGUUUUGAUCAUGGAGGUAACUGGAAAAAGAGCCCUACAUACCUAAUUUCUACUUCCUACCUUCAACCUUUACUCCUUUGGACAGGAGCAACACUUAUCUGCAGGGGUUUGGAUCCAGUCGUGUUACCUUCAGCAGCAAGCCAAGCUGUUAAAACACGCCUUUUGACUUUUGUGAGAUCAUUAUCGACUGUCCUGGCUAUUGCAU